Brassica oleracea var. oleracea is the source of this 288-nucleotide long non-coding RNA. RefSeq lists it as uncharacterized. The record is from RefSeq and is a predicted model, not a curated record. Lineage: Eukaryota; Viridiplantae; Streptophyta; Magnoliopsida; Brassicales; Brassicaceae. The transcript has 3 exons.
ACGAUUUUCUCCUCCCAGAUUUCUCUUCGUCUACUGUUCUUGUGUUCAUCAAUCCAUACGAUUCUCUCUUCCCUCCCAUCGAUUCCCUUCUUCAUUUCUCUACAAUUUCAGGUUUCGUUUCUGCUCGGAGUCAUCCCUGUCUUCAUAGCAUGGAUAUACUCAGAGUUUCUGGAGUACAAGAGGUCUUCAUUGCACUCUAAAGUGUUAUUGAGUUAGACUGUAGCAAAGCAAUACUCUGCUCGGCAAAGGAUACAUCCACCUCCUGAAACUGCAGAAAAACCCUUCAGA